Molecule: ribosomal RNA, 253 nt
Filed under: uncultured bacterium
Lineage: Bacteria
Description: partial 16S ribosomal RNA
Rfam family: Bacterial small subunit ribosomal RNA
Source: RNAcentral
UACGGAGGGUGCAAACGUUGCUCGGAAUCAUUGGGCGUAAAGCGCACGUAGGCGGUCCAGCAAGUCGGGUGUGAAAGCCCUCGGCUUAACCGAGGAAGUGCAUUCGAAACUACUGGACUUGAAUACUGAAGAGGAUCGCGGAAUUCCCGGUGUAGAGGUGAAAUUCGUAGAUAUCGGGAGGAACACCAGUGGCGAAGGCGGCGAUCUGGGCAGAUAUUGACGCUGAGACGCGAAAGCGUGGGGAGCGAACAGG